This 875-nucleotide ribosomal RNA is filed under the name Euphlyctis kalasgramensis. RNAcentral's name for it is "partial large subunit ribosomal RNA". It matches the Rfam family "Bacterial large subunit ribosomal RNA", at positions 1495 to 2607 of the family's 2925-position model. The record is from RNAcentral. Lineage: Eukaryota; Metazoa; Chordata; Amphibia; Anura; Dicroglossidae.
UAGCUUAGCAUACUCUAUUAAUAAAAUUCCACAACACCCCACGAACCCGACACCACAAUUGAAUAACUCUAUAGAUUAUAGAAGAUAUGAUGCUAAAACUAGUAACAAGAAAAAGACCUUUCUCCAAAAUAUAAGUGUAUGUCAAAACGAACUCAUCAUUGACACCUAACGCCCUUGAGCCCAAGAUAAUAACCCACCAAGAAAACCUUAUUACACAAUGACGUUAACCUAACACAAGAAUAUUUCUGGAAAGAUUAAAAGAGGGAGAAGGAACUCGGCAAAUCUAAGCCCCGCCUGUUUACCAAAAACAUCGCCUCUUGAAUAGAUAUAAGAGGUCCAGCCUGCCCAGUGAUACAAUUUAACGGCCGCGGUAUACUGACCGUGCGAAGGUAGCAUAAUCACUUGUUCUUUAAAUGGGGACUAGUAUGAACGGCACCACGAGGGCUUUACUGUCUCCUCCCUCCAAUCAGUGAAACUGACCUCCCUGUGAAGAGGCAGGGAUACCACUAUAAGACGAGAAGACCCCAUGGAGCUUUAAACCCAACAACAGCCCAAACACCACCACCCCAAAAAGUUUUAAGGGUAUUGCUAGUUGGUUUUAGGUUGGGGUGACCGCGGAGUAUAAACUAUCCUCCACGACGAACGGGCCUACCCCCUUACCCAAGAGCUACGCCUCUAAGGAUUAACACAUUAACGUAAAAUGAUCCAAAUAUUUGAUCAACGAACCAAGUUACCCUGGGGAUAACAGCGCAAUCCAUUUUUAGAGCCCCUAUCGACAAAUGGGUUUACGACCUCGAUGUUGGAUCAGGGUAUCCAGGAGGUGCAGCCGCUUCCAAUGGUUUGUUUGUUCAACAAUUAAAACCCUACGUGAUCUG